GGAAGGGGUGUAUUUAUUAGGUAAAAACCAAUGCUAGCAAUAGCUUACUGGUGAUUCAUAAUAACUCUUCGGAUCGUAUGACCUUGUGUCGACGACGUAUCAUUCAAAUUUCUGCCCUAUCAACUUUUGAUGGUAGGAUAGGGGCCUACCAUGGUGAUAACGGGUAACGGAGAAUUAGGGUUCGAUUCCGGAGAGGGAGCCUGAGAAAUGGCUACCACAUCCAAGGAAGGCAGCAGGCGCGCAAAUUACCCAAUCCUGA
Molecule: ribosomal RNA, 259 nt
Filed under: uncultured fungus
Lineage: Eukaryota; Fungi
Description: partial 18S ribosomal RNA
Rfam family: Eukaryotic small subunit ribosomal RNA
Source: RNAcentral